AUUGAACGCUGGCGGCAUGCCUUACACAUGCAAGUCGAACGGCAGCACGGGAGCAAUCCUGGUGGCGAGUGGCGAACGGGUGAGUAAAGUAUCGGAACGUGCCCAGUCGUGGGGGAUAACGUAGCGAAAGUUACGCUAAUACCGCAUACGAUCUAUGGACGAAAGCGGGGGAUCGCAAGACCUUGCGCGAUUGGCGCGGCCGAUAUCAGAUGAGGUAUUUGGUGGGGUAAAGGCUCACCAAGCCGACGAUCUGUAGCUGGUCUGAGAGGACGACCAGCCACACUGGGACUGAGACACGGCCCAGACUCCUGCGGGAGGCAGCAGUGGGGAAUUUUGGACAAUGGGCGAAAGCCUGAUCCAGCCAUGCCGCGUGCAGGAUGAAGGCCUUCGGGUUGUAAACUGCUUUUGUACGGAACGAAAAGGUUUGGCCUAAUAAGCUGAGCUCAUGACGGUACCGUAAGAAUAAGCACCGGCUAACUACGUGCCAGCCGCCGCAGUAA
RNAcentral lists this ribosomal RNA (500 nucleotides) under uncultured bacterium. RNAcentral describes it as "partial 16S ribosomal RNA". It matches the Rfam family "Bacterial small subunit ribosomal RNA", at positions 30 to 523 of the family's 1533-position model. The record is from RNAcentral.